Molecule: ribosomal RNA, 428 nt
Filed under: uncultured Rhodoferax sp.
Lineage: Bacteria; Pseudomonadati; Pseudomonadota; Betaproteobacteria; Burkholderiales; Comamonadaceae
Description: bacterial SSU rRNA
Rfam family: Bacterial small subunit ribosomal RNA
Source: RNAcentral
UGGGGAAUUUUGGACAAUGGGCGCAAGCCUGAUCCAGCAAUGCCGCGUGCAGGAUGAAGGCCUUCGGGUUGUAAACUGCUUUUGUACGGAACGAAACGGCGAGCUCUAAUAAAGUUCGCUAAUGACGGUACCGUAAGAAUAAGCACCGGCUAACUACGUGCCAGCAGCCGCGGCAAUACGUAGGGUGCGAGCGUUAAUCGGAAUUACUGGGCGUAAAGGCGUGCGCAGGCGGUUAUAUAAGACAGAUGUGAAAUCCCCGGGCUCAACCUGGGACCUGCAUUUGUGACUGUAUAGCUAGAGUACGGUAGAGGGGGAUGGAAUUCCGCGUGUAGCAGUGAAAUGCGUAGAUAUGCGGAGGAACACCGAUGGCGAAGGCAAUCCCCUGGACCUGUACUGACGCUCAUGCACGAAAGCGUGGGGAGCAAACA